UACGUAGGUGGCAAGCGUUGUCCGGAUUUAUUGAGUUUAAAGGGUGCGUAGGUGGCCCUGUAAGUCAGUGGUGAAAUAUCUCAGCUUAACUGAGAGGGUGCCAUUGAUACUGCAGGGCUUGAGUACAGAUGAGGUAGGCGGAAUUGACGGUGUAGCGGUGAAAUGCAUAGAUAUCGUCAAGAACACCGAUAGCGAAGGCAGCUUACCAAGCUGUAACUGACACUGAGGCACGAAAGUGUGGGGAUCAAACAGG
This 253-nucleotide ribosomal RNA is filed under the name uncultured bacterium. RNAcentral describes it as "partial 16S ribosomal RNA". It matches the Rfam family "Bacterial small subunit ribosomal RNA", at positions 524 to 776 of the family's 1533-position model. The record is from RNAcentral.